Molecule: ribosomal RNA, 314 nt
Filed under: Phormidium lucidum KUAC 3234
Lineage: Bacteria; Bacillati; Cyanobacteriota; Cyanophyceae; Oscillatoriales; Oscillatoriaceae
Description: bacterial SSU rRNA
Rfam family: Bacterial small subunit ribosomal RNA
Source: RNAcentral
GUCUGUGGAUUGUAAACCCCUUUUCUCAGGGAAGAAGUUCUGACGGUACCCGAGGAAUCAGCAUCGGCUAACUCCGUGCCAGCAGCCGCGGUAAGACGGAGGAUGCAAGCGUUAUCCGGAAUUAUUGGGCGUAAAGCGUCCGUAGGCGGUUUAUCAAGUCUGUCGUUAAAGACUGCAGCUUAACUGUGGGCGAGCGGUGGAAACUGAUUAACUAGAGUGUGGUAGGGGUAGAGGGAAUUCCCAGUGUAGCGGUGAAAUGCGUAGAUAUUGGGAAGAACACCAGUGGCGAAGGCGCUCUACUGGGCCACAACUGA